UAUUUUUGCCUCGUAAUUGGUUCUGAUCCCGGACGAGCCGGGCGGAUUAAAAGGGAAACCGGUGUAAAUCCGGCGCUAUCCCCGUAGCUGUAAACUCCUGUAAUUCUGUUCAAUCUUCAAACCACUAUCUAAGUGUAAUAUGAUGGGAAGGUGUUGAACAGGGAGCAAGCCAGAAGACCUGCCAGUUACAUUGUUGCAUC
Molecule: non-coding RNA, 200 nt
Filed under: Niastella yeongjuensis
Lineage: Bacteria; Pseudomonadati; Bacteroidota; Chitinophagia; Chitinophagales; Chitinophagaceae
Source: RNAcentral